This 363-nucleotide long non-coding RNA is filed under the name Mustela putorius furo (domestic ferret). Its description in RNAcentral is "lncRNA (ENSMPUG00000027688.1)". Lineage: Eukaryota; Metazoa; Chordata; Mammalia; Carnivora; Mustelidae. The record is from RNAcentral.
UCCAUGUAAAAUGGGGACAAUUUAUGCACUUCUCACUCAGGUUGUUACUACAAGAACAAUGUUCCGAGGUCAUCAAAGUUAAGUGCUUAAAUAGUGCACGCAUCUCAGCUCAACAAACAUUUACUGAGCACCCAGCAUUAUGGCUUACACUUCAAAAAGUUCUGAUUUUUAGAUUUUAUUUAUUUAUUUGACAGAGAGAUAGAGAACACCAGGCAGAGGGAGAGAGAGAGAAGCAGGCUCUCUGCUGAACAGGAAGCCCGAUGUGGGGCUCGAUCCCAGGACCCUGGAACCAUGGCCUGAGCCGAAGGCAGCUGCUUAACCAACUGAGCCACGCAGGUGCCCCCACCACCAUGAUGAUUUUCU